UGGGGAAUAUUGCACAAUGGGGGAAACCCUGAUGCAGCGACGCCGCGUGAAGGAAGAAGUAUUUCGGUAUGUAAACUUCUAUCAGCAAGGAAGAUAAUGACGGUACUUGACUAAGAAGCCCCGGCUAACUACGUGCCAGCAGCCGCGGUAAUACGUAGGGGGCAAGCGUUAUUCGGAUUUACUGGGUGUAAAGGGAGCGUAGGUGGCAUGGCAAGUCAGAUGUGGAAGCCCGGGGCUCAACCCCGGGACUGCAUUUGAAACUGCCAGGCUGGAGUGCAGGAGAGGUAAGUGGAAUUCCUAGUGUAGCGGUGAAGUGCGUAGAUAUUAGGAGGAACACCAGUGGCGAAGGCGGCUUACUGGACUGUAACUGACACUGAGGCUCGAAAGCGUGGGGAGCAAACAG
RNAcentral lists this ribosomal RNA (403 nucleotides) under uncultured bacterium. RNAcentral describes it as "bacterial SSU rRNA". It matches the Rfam family "Bacterial small subunit ribosomal RNA", at positions 355 to 775 of the family's 1533-position model. The record is from RNAcentral.